This 244-nucleotide ribosomal RNA is filed under the name uncultured bacterium. RNAcentral describes it as "partial 16S ribosomal RNA". It matches the Rfam family "Bacterial small subunit ribosomal RNA", at positions 524 to 763 of the family's 1533-position model. The record is from RNAcentral.
UACGGAGGGGGCUAGCGUUGUUCGGAAUUACUGGGCGUAAAGCGCGCGUAGGCGGACCUGCAAGUCGGGGGGUGAAAGCCCGAGGCUCAACCCUCGGAACUGCCUUCGAUACUGCGGGUCUCGAGUCGGGAGAGGUGAGUGGGAAUUCCUAGUGUAGAGGUGAAAUUCGUAGAUAUUAGGAAGAACACCAGUGGCGAAGGCGGCUCACUGGCCCCGGUACUGACGCUGAGGCGCGGAAAGCGUG